AGUGAACGCUGGCGGUAGGCCUAACACAUGCAAGUCGAACGGCAGCACAGUAAGAGCUUGCUCUUACGGGUGGCGAGUGGCGGACGGGUGAGGAAUACAUCGGAAUCUACUUUUUCGUGGGGGAUGACGUAGGGAAACUUACGCUAAUACCGCAUACGACCUACGGGUGAAAGCAGGGGAUCUUCGGACCUUGCGCGAUUGAAUGAGCCGAUGUCGGAUUAGCUAGUUGGCGGGGUAAAGGCCCACCAAGGCGACGAUCCGUAGCUGGUCUGAGAGGAUGAUCGGCCCCACUGGAGCUGGGACCCGGUCCCACCUCCUACGGGAGGCAGCAUUGGGGAUUUUUGGACAAGGGGCGCAAGCCUGAUCCAGCCAUACCGCGUGGUUGAAAAAGGCCUUCGGGUUGUAAGCCCUUUUGUUGGGAAAGAAAAGCAGCAGGUUAAUACCCCGCUGUUCUGACGGUACCCAAAGAAUAAGCACCGGCUAACUUCGUG
Molecule: ribosomal RNA, 491 nt
Filed under: uncultured bacterium
Lineage: Bacteria
Description: partial 16S ribosomal RNA
Rfam family: Bacterial small subunit ribosomal RNA
Source: RNAcentral